Molecule: transfer RNA, 73 nt
Filed under: Felis catus (domestic cat)
Lineage: Eukaryota; Metazoa; Chordata; Mammalia; Carnivora; Felidae
Also listed under: 3 other names
Rfam family: tRNA
About the family: Transfer RNA (tRNA) molecules are approximately 80 nucleotides in length.
Source: Rfam by way of RNAcentral
ACCCGGCUGGCUCAGUUGGAAGAGCAUGUGACUCUUGAUCUCAGGAUCAUGAGUUUGAACCCCAUGUUGGGGG